This 468-nucleotide ribosomal RNA is filed under the name uncultured bacterium. RNAcentral describes it as "partial 16S ribosomal RNA". It matches the Rfam family "Bacterial small subunit ribosomal RNA", at positions 28 to 507 of the family's 1533-position model. The record is from RNAcentral.
GACGAACGCUGGCGGCGUGCUUAACACAUGCAAGUCGAACGGAAAGGCCCUGCUUUUGUGGGGUGCUCGAGUGGCGAACGGGUGAGUAACACGUGAGUAACCUGCCCUUGACUUUGGGAUAACUUCAGGAAACUGGGGCUAAUACCGGAUAGGAGCUCCUGCUGCAUGGUGGGGGUUGGAAAGUUUCGGCGGUUGGGGAUGGUCUCGCGGCUUUUCGGCUUGUUGGUGGGGUAGUGGCAGACCAAGGCUUAGACGGAUAGCCGGCCUGAGAGGGGCACCGGCGCCCUGGCGCCUGCGAGAGGGAGCAGUCGGCAAUGGGGGGCAGUAGUCGGGAGUAUUGCCCAGUGGUGGGAAGUCUGAGGCAGAAACGCCGGGUUUGUGAUGACGGCUUGUGGGUUGUGAAAUGCUUGGGCCUGUUACGGAGGGUGGAUGACGGUAAUGGGUAAAUAAGCACCGGCUAACUACGUG